Molecule: ribosomal RNA, 874 nt
Filed under: Teratosphaeria molleriana
Lineage: Eukaryota; Fungi; Ascomycota; Dothideomycetes; Mycosphaerellales; Teratosphaeriaceae
Description: eukaryotic LSU rRNA
Rfam family: Eukaryotic large subunit ribosomal RNA
Source: RNAcentral
AGCGGAGGAAAAGAAACCAACAGGGAUUGCCCUAGUAACGGCGAGUGAAGCGGCAACAGCUCAAAUUUGAAAUCUGGCGCAAGCCCGAGUUGUAAUUUGGAGAGGAUGCUUCAGGGCAGCGGCCGGUCUAAGUUCCUUGGAACAGGACGUCAUAGAGGGUGAGAAUCCCGUAUGCGACCGGUUGGCACCCGUCACGUAGCUCCUUCGACGAGUCGAGUUGUUUGGGAAUGCAGCUCUAAAUGGGAGGUAAAUUUCUUCUAAAGCUAAAUAUUGGCCAGAGACCGAUAGCGCACAAGUAGAGUGAUCGAAAGAUGAAAAGCACUUUGGAAAGAGAGUUAAAAAGCACGUGAAAUUGUUGAAAGGGAAGCGCAUGCAAUCAGACUUGUCGGCGGUGUUCCGCCGGUCUUUUGACCGGUCUACUCGCCGCCGGCAGGCCAGCAUCAUCUGGGUGCGCCGGACAAAGGCGCGGGGAAUGUAGCUCCUCGGAGUGUUAUAGCCCCGCGCACAAUACGGCGCCGCCCGGGUGAGGUCCGCGCUUCGGCUAGGAUGCUGGCGUAAUGGUUGUAUGCGGCCCGUCUUGAAACACGGACCAAGGAGUCUAACAUCUAUGCGAGUGUUCGGGUGUCAAACCCCUACGCGGAAUGAAAGUGAACGGAGGUGGGAAGCGCAAGCUGCACCAUCGACCGAUCCUGAUGUCUUCGGAUGGAUUUGAGUAAGAGCAUAGCUGUUGGGACCCGAAAGAUGGUGAACUAUGCCUGAAUAGGGUGAAGCCAGAGGAAACUCUGGUGGAGGCUCGCAGCGGUUCUGACGUGCAAAUCGAUCGUCAAAUUUGGGUAUAGGGGCGAAAGACUAAUCGAACCAUCUAGUAGCUGGU